Molecule: ribosomal RNA, 440 nt
Filed under: uncultured bacterium
Lineage: Bacteria
Description: partial 16S ribosomal RNA
Rfam family: Bacterial small subunit ribosomal RNA
Source: RNAcentral
CCUACGGGAGGCAGCAGUGGGGAAUAUUGCACAAUGGGGGAAACCCUGAUGCAGCAACGCCGCGUGAGUGAUGACGGAUCUCGGGUUGUAAAGCUCUGUCUACAGGGACGAUAAUGUAGGUACCUGAGGAGGAAGGCAUGGAUAACUUCGUGCCAGAAGCCGUGGUAAUACGUAGGUGGCGAGCGUUGUCCGGAUUUACUGGGCGUAAAGGGAGCGUAGGCGGUCUUUUAAGUGAGAUGUGAAAUACUCGGGCUCAACUUGAGUGCUGCAUUUCAAACUGUAAGUCUAGAGUGCAGGAGAGGAGAAUGGAAUUCCUAGUGUAGCGGUGAAAUGCAUAGAGAUUAGGAAGAACACCAGUGGCGAAGGCGAUUCUCUGGACUGUAACUGACGCUGAGGCUCGAAAGCGUGGGGAGCAAACAGGAUUAGAUACCCGGGUAGUC